Zonotrichia albicollis (white-throated sparrow) is the source of this 227-nucleotide non-coding RNA. The record is from RefSeq and is a predicted model, not a curated record. Lineage: Eukaryota; Metazoa; Chordata; Aves; Passeriformes; Passerellidae.
UCUUUGCUUUUGUCUUUGCUCCUGCCGCUCCUCCAGACAUGGAUGAAGGGGACAAUAACACCAGCCUUCAGGCUGUGGUGACAGGAGCUGGGACCCCCAUCCUGCAGUUUGUGGAGGACAGGAUCCAGACCACCAUGCUGACUGGAAUUGCAAUUGGAGCUGCAGUUGCACUGUUGCUUAUAGCAGUUGUUGUGUUUGUGGUGUACAGAAGAGUGAGACAGUCCAGU